GGUUUUCAGGAAUCUUUCAAACCCCUCAUUGCUCAGUUACCUAAUUCCUCGUGUUGAUCCUUGCUUCUAGAGCCCACCGAAGGAGGUCUCUGGAUUUUCAGACUCUAUGUCCGAUCUCAUGAAGAACCUGGAGCAACUGAAUCUAGAUCUUGAAGAAGCUCUCAAUCAUGGCUCUUCUCCUUCUCAGACUACUUCUUUCAAGAGGCGAGAGCAGCAGUCUUCUGUUAAACUGGAUGCCGGUGAGAAUAGAGAUCCUCAGAGGAAGGGAAUUGGUAGAAAUAAGUGGGGAAGCUUCCAGAAGCUAGAUGACUGGCCAAACCCAAUGUCAGCUGGAGCACGCCCCAAAAUUAAACUGUCACAGCAGAGACAAAGAGUGGAAUGAAAAGCCAAAUUUUCAGAAAUUGAUUUAUCUGAGAGCUUCAUACAAUGUUCGGUAUUCUCCGGCGAGAGACCCAAGAGCAUCAAAUUCUUCCUCAGUCUUAUUUCCAGAAAUGAAUUAUUCAUUGGAAUAUUGGCAAAUAAGAUCGGGUUUGUUUUAUCAACCCUCCUCAUUUUCAGCGGUGUCAAGAAGUAAAUUGUGUGACUCCUGAUUUGGGGCUUGUUCAGUGAGGGAAAUACAGCUCCCUUUUUGAACACUAGCUAUGACCUGGUGCUCUUUACAGGAGAUAGCAAGGUCCAGAUGUGGAAACUCUGCGCUUUAACUCGAGGUUAUCAAUCAGUGAAUACUAUUUACUGAGUGUCUUCAGCGUGCAGAGCAUUAUCACCUUCCAACUCUCUGCACUUUUCACCCCCAAGCAAAUUAUCUGGGAAAUUGGUGUCUAAAAUCAAUUUAGUAGUUGCCUUUAGCACUUAUGUACAUGCCCAUAGCUAAUUUUUAUCCAUGUCUGCAUCCCCUUCUAGGCUGUAAAUUCGUUGUUGGCAGGAAACACGUCUACCAACUUGUUCUGUCGUACUCUCCCAAGUGCUUAGUACAGUCUUUGGCACACAGUUAAGCGCUCAGUAAAUGAAAUGGAUGGAUUAAAAGUAUGUUUAGUUCACUUGAAAUAUCUAGCUCAUUCAGCUAAAAUCUAUUUGGGGGCUAAGUAUAUCAGUAAAUUUAUGGGUGUAGACGGCCAUUAUGUUACCAUCGAUAGGCGGCUUAAACCCUGCCCCGCUUGUCCCAUCAAAAACUGACUGUGGGCAAAAAAGGACUGCCAUAACUUUAUGAUAAAAGUGUUUAACAAAAAGGGUUAAAAUACGUUCAUUCCUAAGAAGGCAGAGAACAGUAACGAGUGUCGAAAGCCAGGAUUCACUGUAAUGACAACAGAAGACGUAAAACUGGGAGAGCAAUUCUCAUUUUCAGGAGUCUUAAAGAUGGAUAUACUGACAGUUGGCCAUUAUCUGUCCUGCAGAACUCCCUUUGAUGAUGCUAUAAUCAGGUUUUACUCCCAAGCAAAAAAAUGCAAUUGGUUGAUAAAUACUAGGCCAUUACUUUAUGCAAAUGUCAAGUUCAGCAAAACCGUGUAAUUGCCUGCAGGAAUCCAUCUGAUAUGUUGGUAUUCAUCUAGGCAAUGUAGCGGUUACAGAGCUGUGCUGAAAAUUCUCCAAUAAAGAAUAUGUUGAACAUUCAUGGGAAAUAGAAUUUAAAAGAGCGCAGAUUGGUGGUAGGUGAAAUGAUCCAUGCAUUUCCUGCCUGGGGGGCUGAAGAUAUAAGGUUCUUUAUGAAUAUAUAUAUUUUGUGGCUGCUAUUAAUUUUAUCUAGGGUACCACAGAAAGCAAGCAAGUGCUUCAUCUGGUUAGGGAUUAGUGUCAUCUUGAUUUAAAAAGCAACUGGGACUCUCAUCCCACUUCAGUGAUGUUUGGAUUGAAUAAUAUUUAUUGAUUUCACCUUAUUCGUUUGGUUCAGUGUCGAAUCUUGCAAACGGAGGGCUAGUAGUACGAGAGGAUGUACUAGUAUGAGAAGCAGCAUGGCUCAGUGGCAAGAGCGUACCAGUAUGAAAAGCAGUGUGGCUCAGUGGCAAGAGCACGGGCUUGGGAGUCAGAGGUCAUGGGUUCUAAUCCCGGCUCCGCCACUUAUCAGCUGUGUGACUUUGAGCAAAUCACUUAACUUCUCUGUGCCUCAGUCACCUCUUCUGUGGAAUGGGGAUUAAGACUGUGAGCCCCACGUGGGACAACCUGAUUACCCUGGAUCUCCCCCAGUGCUUAGAACACUGCUCUGCACAUAGUAAGCACUUAACAAAUACCAUCAUUAUUACAGUGCCUGACACAUUAUAAACGCUUAACAAAUACCAUUAUUAUUAUUAUCCGUGAGUGUGAGUGACUUUGAGAGGCAGUCCCUUGCACUUCUGCACACUUUGACUGUAAUACAACAACACAGGAAUGUAGACUCUUAGGGCCGGAUGCCCAAUUCAGUAAUAAUAAUAACAAUAAUGUUGGUAUUUGUUAAGCGCUUACUACGUGCAGAGCACGGUUCUAAGCGCUGGGGGAGAUACAGGGUAAUAAGGUUGUCCCACAUGAGGCUCACAGUCUUAAUCCCCAUUUUACAGAUGAGGUAUCUGAGGCACAGAGAGGUUAAGUGACUUGCCUCCAGUCACACAGCUGACAAGUGGCAGAGCUGGGAUAAUACUAUAGCCAGCUAAUAAGGGGUCAAGGGAAGCAGAUCAUUGAAAGCCUUCUUCUCCCUCUAUGCCUGGACUGAGGUGAUGAUGAGGGCACUGCGGAGAAGGAGAGGGAAACCCAAGGGCCCCAGGGGAAGGUUAUGUGGAGGAGGAAAAAUUACAAGGAGGAGGUGGAAAACUACUGGAGUCAAACUUAUUGGUAGAAGAGCCCCCUAUCUAGUCCUUAUAGUUAACUCUUGAGAGUUGAAGCAGUGAUGUGGAUAAUUCAAAUAAGACCCACAUAGGGUAUUCCCUCGUAGACUGUCAUCUGCAGGACAGGAAUCACAUUUACAACUUAUGUCGUACUCUCCCACAGGCUUAGUACAGAGCUC
This 2968-nucleotide long non-coding RNA is filed under the name Ornithorhynchus anatinus (platypus). Its description in RNAcentral is "lncRNA (ENSOANG00000036211.1)". Lineage: Eukaryota; Metazoa; Chordata; Mammalia; Monotremata; Ornithorhynchidae. The record is from RNAcentral.